This 500-nucleotide ribosomal RNA is filed under the name uncultured bacterium. RNAcentral's name for it is "partial 16S ribosomal RNA". It matches the Rfam family "Bacterial small subunit ribosomal RNA", at positions 30 to 523 of the family's 1533-position model. The record is from RNAcentral.
AUUGAACGCUGGCGGCAUGCUCCACACAUGCAAGUCGAACGGUAACAGGGUGCUUGCACCGCUGACGAGUGGCGAACGGGUGAGUAAUGCGUCGGAACGUGCCGAGUAGUGGGGGAUAACGCAGCGAAAGUUGUGCUAAUACCGCAUACGUACUGAGGUAGAAAGUGGGGGACCUUCGGGCCUCACGCUAUUCGAGCGGCCGACGUCUGAUUAGCUAGUAGGUGAGGUAAAGGCUCACCUAGGCGACGAUCAGUAGCGGGUCUGAGAGGAUGAUCCGCCACACUGGGACUGGGACACGGCCCAGACUCCUACGGGAGGCAGCAGUGGGGAAUUUUGGACAAUGGGCGAAAGCCUGAUCCAGCCAUGCCGCGUGUCUGAAGAAGGCCUUCGGGUUGUAAAGGACUUUUGUCAGGGAGGAAAUCCCUAGUGCUAAUAACACUGGGGGAUGACAGUACCUGAAGAAUAAGCACCGGCUAACUACGUGCCAGCCGCCGCGGUAA